GGACUUCUGACUUAGCGGGGGCGGGCGAGGACACUAAAGGAAUCCUCCUAUAAGGAGGGAGAUCAUUUGGAAAACGUCCUAAUACCGCAUAAUAUCUUCUUCUGCAUGAAAGAUUGAACGACGGUUCUGCUGUCAAUUAUCAUGACCUUGCGCUGCAUUAUGUAGUUGUAGGGGUAACGGCCUAGACGAUCCAUGAUGCGUACUGAACCCAAGAACGGUGAUCGG
This 225-nucleotide ribosomal RNA is filed under the name Aerococcus sp. Z36-SB-E14. Its description in RNAcentral is "partial 16S ribosomal RNA". The record is from RNAcentral. Lineage: Bacteria; Bacillati; Bacillota; Bacilli; Lactobacillales; Aerococcaceae.